GACGAACGCUGGCGGCGUGCUUAACACAUGCAAGUCGAGCGGGCCCGCCCCUGUUUUUGGGGGUGGGUUGAGUGGCGAACGGGUGAGUAUCACGUGAGUAACCUGCCCCCUGCUCCUGGAUAACUGCUUGAAAGGGCGGCUAAUACGGGGUGUGCCGGCUGGUCCGCAUGGGCCUGGUCGGGAUAGUUUCAUCUUCGGGUGUUUCGGUGGGGGAUGGGCUCGCGUCCUAUCAGCUUGUUGGUGGGGUGAUGGCCCACCAAGGCGGUGACGGGUAGCCGGCCUGAGAGGGUGGGCGGCCACACUGGGACGGGGACACGGCCCAGACUCGUGCGGGAGGCAGCAGGGGGGGGUAUUGAACAAUGGGCGGAAGCCUGAUGCAGCGACGUCGCGUGAGGGAGGGAGGCCUUCGGGUUGUGAACCUCUUUCUCCGGUGGUGAAGGCCCUGUCCGUUGCGGCGGGGUUGACGGUAGCCGGGGAUGAAGCGCCGGCUAACUACGUG
RNAcentral lists this ribosomal RNA (499 nucleotides) under uncultured bacterium. RNAcentral's name for it is "partial 16S ribosomal RNA". It matches the Rfam family "Bacterial small subunit ribosomal RNA", at positions 28 to 507 of the family's 1533-position model. The record is from RNAcentral.